RNAcentral lists this ribosomal RNA (1270 nucleotides) under Triticum aestivum (bread wheat). RNAcentral describes it as "partial small subunit ribosomal RNA". The record is from RNAcentral. Lineage: Eukaryota; Viridiplantae; Streptophyta; Magnoliopsida; Poales; Poaceae.
GUCGUCACCCUUGCGCGCGUCCCAUCUAAAAGGGUUCUUUUAAUAGAGCUAUGUCGGUCGCCGCGUAGAGCGGCGGCUGCUUCAGGGGUCAGGUGGAGCGGUGGUGGAGGGUGGGCGGAGCACGGGAUAGCACGACGAUGUGAUGUAAAGGAGACUAUUACCACAGGUCGGACUUACCCUACAGACAAUCUAUAAGCGAACGACUGUUAUGGUACCUCAGGGGAUGCUCCAGUCUCCCAGGGAGAACGCAGCCCAAACACACUAGACUAAGGCACAUGUAAAGGACACGUGUGAGGUAGGUACCAUCAAAGUACAUAUGUAGAGACUAGCGAACAGUUUUUAGCCUUUAGCUUAUCCCUAUACUACAUAUUUGAGAAAACUAGGACAUGAUAGGUCAUCCUAAUCACAACUAAUCAAGGAGUAAAUAAAACCAAUAUGAUACGUGAAAACGGAUUUUCCACGGAUAACAAGGUAGAAUAGGUGUUUCAAGAGUUAAUUUGACAAAAAAAAACCUUUUCCUCCGAAAGGGGGCCGGAGACGUAGAUUCGCUACGUACGUCGGUAGAAUAAUUUCAAGAGUUAUUUUGACAUUUGUGGGAUUAAAAGAGCAAUUAGAAAACUCUUUGUGUCGGUUAAAAGAACCUAAAAAUCUAUCGACGUCUACCAUAACCACAGUCUGACAGUCAUUGCACACCGAAGACAAAUAUAAAGUCGUUAAUGACCUCGGGGGUUUUUUUUCUAAGCCCCUACCAACGAAGUCACACUAACGAUAAUUUAAAAUUUAUCACCCCUACGGUAAAGGUAGGUAAGUAGAGAAGGAGAUCGAACAAAGUCCAACCUACUUCUGCUUCUUGUUCCACCGGAGAAACAAACUGACUAUAUAAACCGGAGAAAACGGUUAUGUUCUUCCACUUCGUUCAGACAUCUAGUAACGUUGAUGAUAGUCUUUACCCGCUCGCGAACGCCGUCCCGUUCCUGUGGAGCUCCUGUAUGACUUUUCGGGACCGUGAUGAAGUUCAACACGUUUAGUGAAGUCGGUACACUACAUAAAUAGACGACCAACAUUUAAACAUUAUCUUACGUCUCAUCACAAGGAAAGUUUUUUCUUUCUCUCCCUCUCUAUGUCGGGAGAUAACGGGGGAAAGAACAUUGUACUUGUUAAAAGAGUAUUUACCGUCUAGCUAGUCUGACGAGGUGUAGUGUGACCUCAUUAAAGCAAAAAAAGUCACAUGUCUUUUUAACUGUCUGUCUAUACUUUCUUUUAUUUCUCG